UUAAAGUCAUGUAAAGUGGAGAAUUUGAGUUUUCCACUGAUGUCAGAUUUGCCCCUUUAAAACGUUCAGUCGCUCCGCAGUGAACGUGGUUACAUCAUCAAUUCCUGCGCAUUGAUUGGCCAGAGAAACCACGUUGUUCCGUCCACUGAGCCAAUCAGCGAGGGCUGUGAAGGCUCCUGUGUCCCGAUUGGAUGACGCCUCCAGCGUCCAUGUUUUUCCCGGAAAUUUGAACACACGGAGGAAAAACGAGACGCAGCACGAGUGUUUGUUUACAGGAAAACAUACCCAAAAAAACAGCAUAUUAGCAAAACAGAGCUCAGCAAAAAGCGAGACCAAGAUGUGAAGAUGACGGUGAACAGCUGAAGAGACGCUGCAGCUGAUCCUCGUCACAAACAGCUGAUGCAGCAGCAGGAGGAGGACAGGCAGGACACAGACCAGUUUGGAGACAUUAGCUGAUGUUUGGAAACUGCGGCGUCUCCAAAACUGAGCGAAACGACAGGCGCUGUGAGCCGCUGCAAGGCUGCUGGAAGCGAGGAGAGCUGUCUCUGCCGAGGAAGAAAAGGAUGUUUGGAGAGGGAUCACAUCAGACAUGACAUUAGAUGAGGAACACACCGCAGAAGGCUGCGUUUUGGGCCACCCUGAGACAGACCGGCACCGACUGCAAACGACCCCGAAGCAAC
Molecule: long non-coding RNA, 680 nt
Organism: Plectropomus leopardus (leopard coralgrouper)
Lineage: Eukaryota; Metazoa; Chordata; Actinopteri; Perciformes; Serranidae
Source: RefSeq, a predicted model, not a curated record